GAGGAUGAUCAGCCACACUGGAACUGAGACACGGUCCAGACUCCUACGGGAGGCAGCAGUGGGGAAUAUUGGACAAUGGGCGCAAGCCUGAUCCAGCAAUGCCGCGUGUGUGAAGAAGGCCUUCGGGUUGUAAAGCACUUUUAUCAGGAACGAAAUACCACGGGUUAAUAACCUAUGGGGCUGACGGUACCUGAGGAAUAAGCACCGGCUAACUUCGUGCCAGCAGCCGCGGUAAUACGAAGGGUGCAAGCGUUAAUCGGAAUUACUGGGCGUAAAGGGUGCGUAGGCGGUUGUUUAAGUCUGUUGUGAAAUCCCCGGGCUCAACCUGGGAAUGGCAAUGGAUACUGGACAGCUAGAGUGUGUCAGAGGAUGGUGGAAUUUCCGGUGUAGCGGUGAAAUGCGUAGAGAUCGGAAGGAACAUCAGUGGCGAAGGCGGCCAUCUGGGGCAACACUGACGCUGAAGCACGAAAGCGUGGGGAGCAAACAGGAUUAGAUACCCUGGUAGUCCACGCCCUAAACAAUGCGAACUGGAUGUUGGUCUCAACUCGGAGAUCAGUGUCGAAGCUAACGCGUUAAGUUCGCCGCCUGGGGAGUACGGUCGCAAGACUGAAACUCAAAGGAAUUGACGGGGGCCCGCACAAGCGGUGGAGUAUGUGGUUUAAUUCGAUGCAACGCGAAGAACCUUACCUGGCCUUGACAUGUCCGGAAUCCUGCAGAGAUGCGGGAGUGCCUUCGGGAAUCGGAACACAGGUGCUGCAUGGCUGUCGUCAGCUCGUGUCGUGAGAUGUUGGGUUAAGUCCCGCAACGAGCGCAACCCUUGUCCUUAGUUGCCAGCGAGUAAUGUCGGGAACUCUAAGGAGACUGCCGGUGACAAACCGGAGGAAGGUGGGGAUGACGUCAAGUCCUCAUGGCCCUUACGGCCAGGGCUACACACGUACUACAAUGGUCGGUACAGAGGGUUGCAAUACCGCGAGGUGGAGCCAAUCCCAGAAAGCCGAUCCCAGUCCGGAUCGAAGUCUGCAACUCGACUUCGUGAAGUCGGAAUCGCUAGUAAUCGCGGAUCAGCUAUGCCGCGGUGAAUACGUUCCCGGGCCUUGUACACACCGCCCGUCACACCAUGGGAGUGAGUUGCUCCAGAAGCCGUUAGUCUAACCGCAAGGGGGACGACGACCACGGAGUGGUUCAUGACUGGGGUGAAGUCGUAACAAGGUA
This 1212-nucleotide ribosomal RNA is filed under the name metagenome. RNAcentral describes it as "bacterial SSU rRNA". It matches the Rfam family "Bacterial small subunit ribosomal RNA", at positions 296 to 1498 of the family's 1533-position model. The record is from RNAcentral.